RNAcentral lists this ribosomal RNA (369 nucleotides) under uncultured Flavobacteriia bacterium. RNAcentral describes it as "bacterial SSU rRNA". It matches the Rfam family "Bacterial small subunit ribosomal RNA", at positions 545 to 916 of the family's 1533-position model. The record is from RNAcentral. Lineage: Bacteria; Pseudomonadati; Bacteroidota; Flavobacteriia.
CCGGAAUCAUUGGGUUUAAAGGGUCCGUAGGUGGACAAAUAAGUCAGAGGUGAAAUCCUGCAGCUCAACUGUAGAACUGCCUUUGAUACUGUUUGUCUUGAGUUAUUAUGAAGUGGUUAGAAUGUGUAGUGUAGCGGUGAAAUGCAUAGAUAUUACACAGAAUACCGAUUGCGAAGGCAGAUCACUAAUAAUUAACUGACACUGAGGGACGAAAGCGUGGGUAGCGAACAGGAUUAGAUACCCUGGUAGUCCACGCCGUAAACGAUGGUCACUAGCUGUUUGGACUUCGGUCUGAGUGGCUAAGCGAAAGUGAUAAGUGACCCACCUGGGGAGUACGUUCGCAAGAAUGAAACUCAAAUGAAUUGACGG